GUAAUUAUAACUGGAAGCUUUGUUUUUGUGGUUCUGGUUAUGUCAACUUUAUGACUUUCAUGUGAGAUUGUAAAUUGAUAUUUAGGCAUGCGCAUUAGGUUGAAACCAUAUUUUGUUCGCUUUUUGUGCACAUACACUAAUUAUAAUUUAUAAUCAACUUCUGGUACUGUGACGCAGUACGGAAGCGUGAAGGUUAGCAAAACUAAAUCUAACUAAAAUAAUAAAAUACUGAAGAAAUCCUCCUACAUCAUACUGUUUCAUGUGUAUGUACUUGACAUCGGAUAGUAAACCCUCCAUUACAAAAUGUUUGAAAUUCCGGUAUGACUGCUUCUUCAAACAGGUGAACAGGAGUUUUUCUUGGUGGGUUUGGUCAAAGGGUGAAUUUACCCUUUGGUUACACGAGUCGUGAGGUGCUCAGUUUUUAGUGCGCAA
This 432-nucleotide long non-coding RNA is filed under the name Trifolium pratense (red clover). RNAcentral's name for it is "long non-coding RNA (TPRA_LNC000886)". Lineage: Eukaryota; Viridiplantae; Streptophyta; Magnoliopsida; Fabales; Fabaceae. The record is from RNAcentral.